Long non-coding RNA from Carya illinoinensis, 2336 nucleotides. RefSeq lists it as uncharacterized. The record is from RefSeq and is a predicted model, not a curated record. Lineage: Eukaryota; Viridiplantae; Streptophyta; Magnoliopsida; Fagales; Juglandaceae. The transcript is spliced from 4 exons.
UUCAUUUCACUUUUUCUUGCUCCAUCCCCUACGAAGACCCUCCUCAUCUCACUUUUCCAUUUCCAUCGUCUUUCCCAGAAUGCUUCUGCCUUCCAUCCAAAUCGAUUCCACUUGUUCUUUGUCUUCAUCUUCUCCGAAAUUCCAAGACCCAACAAUUGGCCCAUGUUGUGGAGCUCGUAUCGAAGAGCCACGAAAGACAGAGCCGAUUUGAAACAACAGCAACCUGUCGUAUGCUCCACCAGAUCUGAAAUUUGAAGCCCACAGAGCAGUCCCCAUAGGCACCAAGGUCUUCGUCUUCUUCUCAAACCCAAGACCCACAAACCCACGUUUUAGGCUCCUACUGAAGAGCCACGAACCACAAACUCAAUUUGAACCCACUAACCAGAGCCACGAAGCCCUGUCAUCUUCUCCACCACAUCUAAAAUGUGAAGCCCACAGAGCACCGAAACCCUAACCCUAACCUAAAAAAAUUUGCCAUACUCAUCAAUCAUGCCGUUGCAAAAUUAGAUGACUACCAUUGGUGCACUUGGACGUUGGAGCAAGGGGAAUAUCAAUAAGUUCUUCUAAUGUUGGUUUAUACAUAUUACUACAGAAACAAAUAUUUCUCAUUUGACUGUAAGCUGUCAUCUUCUUCAAUGUAUAUUAAUUCAGAUCUUUACUGUUUCAAUAUUAAUUCUUCUCAUCCUUGGUUUAUAACUAAAGCAUUAAUAUGAUCAGACAUCUUGCAGGAUAGUUCAAAAAACAUAAAUUUGUGACAAGCAACAUCUCGGUGCCAGUAGAUAUUACCGGUUGUAGUCAUGAUGAGUUAGGUACACAUUGGCCAUGCGUAUUUAAUUGUAGAGGUUCAUUUUGGCUGGUUCAAGUAACCAUCUACAUUAUAAAGUGUUUCGUGCACACAGCUUGUUUAUAUUCUGUUUUUCUAUUUUGGGCUCUGAUAAAUUAUUUUUCUUUGAAUCCCUGUGGAGAAUUAAAUGAAAAUUAAAAGUAGUGGAAUGAAUUUCCAUUUGAUGAGCUUUGGAUUCUGAGGGAUGAUGGCUAUUUGGGUUUGUUUCUGUUUUGCAUAUAUGCUAUUGUGAAAAAAUGGGACUUUGUUUGUGAUGGUGUUUUGUAAAUUAUAUGUGAAACUUAUUCAUUUAUUUAGUUGGGAAAAAUCUUGUAUGUCUGAAGUUAAUGAAAUUAAAAUGUUGGUAUUGCUAUUGCUAGGAGUUACUCGUUCUAUUUCAUAUUCCAUCUUGAAAUGUGUUGUACUGCUUGUAUGAACUGGAUUUUGAGGGAUGAUGAGGGUUAGUCUUCUUUUUAUCAAGUGGCAUAGUAAAUGUGGUUGGCUUUCUGGAAUAGUUUCUGUUUUGCCUAUAUGCUAUUGUGAAAAAAUGGGGCUUUGCUUGUGAUGUUGUUUUGUAAAUUAUAUGUGAAACUUAUUCAUUUAUUUUGUUGGGACUGAUACUGUUAGGAGUUACUGAAAUGUUGGAAUUGAUAUCAUUUUCUUCACACAUUGGAACACAUACUGAAAUUCUUGGUACUGCUACUGCUAGGUGUUGGAAUUGAUUCAGUUUUCUUGAAUCACCAAUCUACAUGCGUAUAUUCUCCCUAUCUUCUAUUUGACAUGAUUGUUAUUUUGGUUCAUGUUAGAAAUAUCAUCAUCAUCAUCAUCAAUGUCUUCUUCUUCUUUUGCUAAACAUACCUUUGGUCAAUCACUGCACUUAUGUGAGGUCAAACCCACAUUGAAAUACUCAACUACUGCAAAAAAUCCUGGAUGAGCCUUCUUAGGGUGUCCAAACUACAACACAGAGGGAUUACCAUUCUGCAAGUAUUUCCAAUGGGAAAAUAGUAACAAGUAACUGAGCUCCAACUUCGAGAAGGAAUUGAUGACCUACUACAGAAGGCGAAAGAUCUCGAGAAGACAGUCGAGCUUCUCGAGAAAAGGGAAAUUGACCUUCGCAAGAUAGUGAAUUAGUUCGAAAAGGAGUUGGGGUGUCACGCACAAGACACUGAAAGGAAGCUUUUACGCACACUAAAGCGAAUGUAUUGGGAUGCUGCAUUAGUACUCUGUUUUUGUGUUGGACUUUGGCUUCUGUUUUGAACUCCAGACUUUAUGUCUCUUUUGAUGUUUGAAUUUUUGGUUAUUCCUUGAAGGAUGAAGGAAAUGACAUUAACUAAGCUCUUGAAUAUUUGUAGGCUCUUGUUCUCUACACUUGGAAGGAGUCUAGAGAAGUGAAUUAAUUUUGGUUAUUCCCUGAAGGUGUUGGAAGGAGUUGGUGUGAAAUGAAUAUUUGUACAUCCUUGAACUCUAGAGUUGAUUUGCCUUUUUAAAGUUUGAUGCAAGUAAUGUAAAUACU